This 483-nucleotide ribosomal RNA is filed under the name uncultured bacterium. Its description in RNAcentral is "partial 16S ribosomal RNA". It matches the Rfam family "Bacterial small subunit ribosomal RNA", at positions 28 to 507 of the family's 1533-position model. The record is from RNAcentral.
GACGAACGCUGGCGGCGUGCUUAACACAUGCAAGUCGAACGCUGAAGCUCAGCUUUUGUUGGGUGGAUGAGUGGCGAACGGGUGAGUAACACGUGAGUAACCUGCCCCCUUCUUUGGGAUAACGCCCGGAAACGGGUGCUAAUACUGGAUAUUCACUGGUCUUCGCAUGGGGGUUGGUGGAAAGGGUUUUUCUGGUGGGGGAUGGGCUCGCGGCCUAUCAGCUUGUUGGUGGGGUGAUGGCCUACUAAGGCUUUGACGGGUAGCCGGCCUGAGAGGGUGACCGGUCACAUUGGGACUGAGAUACGGCCCAGACUCCUACGGGAGGCAGCAGUGGGGAAUAUUGCACAAUGGGCGCAAGCCUGAUGCAGCGACGCCGCGUGAGGGAUGGAGGCCUCCGGGUUGUGAACCUCUUUCGCUCAUGGUCAAGCCGCAACAAUGGUUGUGGUGAGGGUAGUGGGUAAAGAAGCGCCGGCUAACUACGUG